GCUCUUCUUGGAUGAGUUGCGAACGGGUGAGUAACGCGUAGGUAACCUGCCUGGUAGCGGGGGAUAACUAUUGGAAACGAUAGCUAAUACCGCAUAACAACAGUUGUUGCAUGACAGCUGUUUAAAAGAUGCAAUUGCAUCACUACCAGAUGGACCUGCGUUGUAUUAGCUAGUUGGUGAGGUAACGGCUCACCAAGGCGACGAUACAUAGCCGACCUGAGAGGGUGAUCGGCCACACUGGGACUGAGACACGGCCCAGACUCCUACGGGAGGCAGCAGUAGGGAAUCUUCGGCAAUGGGGGGAACCCUGACCGAGCAACGCCGCGUGAGUGAAGAAGGUUUUCGGAUCGUAAAGCUCUGUUGUAAGAGAAGAACGGGUGUGAGAGUGGAAAGUUCACACUGUGACGGUAUCUUACCAGAAAGGGACGGCUAACUACGUGCCAGCAGCCGCGGUAAUACGUAGGUCCCGAGCGUUGUCCGGAUUUAUUGGGCGUAAAGCGAGCGCAGGCGGUUAGAUAAGUCUGAAGUUAAAGGCUGUGGCUUAACCAUAGUAUGCUUUGGAAACUGUUUAACUUGAGUGCAGAAGGGGAGAGUGGAAUUCCAUGUGUAGCGGUGAAAUGCGUAGAUAUAUGGAGGAACACCGGUGGCGAAAGCGGCUCUCUGGUCUGUAACUGACGCU
This 679-nucleotide ribosomal RNA is filed under the name Streptococcus sanguinis. RNAcentral describes it as "bacterial SSU rRNA". It matches the Rfam family "Bacterial small subunit ribosomal RNA", at positions 80 to 747 of the family's 1533-position model. The record is from RNAcentral. Lineage: Bacteria; Bacillati; Bacillota; Bacilli; Lactobacillales; Streptococcaceae.